GCCAGUGUAUCCGAGUGGCUAAGGAGACCGCCUGCAGAGCGGCUAUUCGAGGGUUCAAGUCCCUCCACUGGCUC
RNAcentral lists this transfer RNA (74 nucleotides) under subsurface metagenome. Its description in RNAcentral is "tRNA-Cys". It matches the Rfam family "tRNA". From Rfam's summary of the family: Transfer RNA (tRNA) molecules are approximately 80 nucleotides in length. Their secondary structure includes four short double-helical elements and three loops (D, anti-codon, and T loops). The record is from RNAcentral.